GACGAACGCUGGCGGCGUGCUUAACACAUGCAAGUCGAACGGAAAGGCCCUGCUUUUGUGGGGUGCUCGAGUGGCGAACGGGUGAGUAACACGUGAGUAACCUGCCCUUGACUUUGGGAUAACUUCAGGAAACUGGGGCUAAUACCGGAUAGGAGCUCCUGCUGCAUGGUGGGGGUUGGAAAGUUUCGGCGGUUGGGGAUGGACUCGCGGCUUAUCAGCUUGUUGGUGGGGUAGUGGCUUACCAAGGCUUUGACGGGUAGCCGGCCUGAGAGGGUGACCGGCCCCAUUGGGACUGGGAUACGGCCCAGACCCCUACGGGGGGCAGCAGGGGGGAAUAUUGCACAAGGGGCGGAAGCCUGAUGCAGAAACGCCGCGUGGGGGAUGACGGCCUUCGGGUUGUAACCCGCUUUCGCCUGUGACGAAGCGUGAGUGACGGUAAUGGGUAAAGAAGCACCGGCUAACUACGU
RNAcentral lists this ribosomal RNA (467 nucleotides) under uncultured bacterium. RNAcentral describes it as "partial 16S ribosomal RNA". It matches the Rfam family "Bacterial small subunit ribosomal RNA", at positions 28 to 506 of the family's 1533-position model. The record is from RNAcentral.